This 640-nucleotide ribosomal RNA is filed under the name Vibrio sp. RNAcentral's name for it is "bacterial SSU rRNA". The record is from RNAcentral. Lineage: Bacteria; Pseudomonadati; Pseudomonadota; Gammaproteobacteria; Vibrionales; Vibrionaceae.
GUUAAUGGGCGUCGAGCGGCGGACGGGUGAGUAAUGCCUAGGAAAUUGCCUUGAUGUGGGGGAUAACCAUUGGAAACGAUGGCUAAUACCGCAUAAUGCCUACGGGCCAAAGAGGGGGACCUUCGGGCCUCUCGCGUCAAGAUAUGCCUAGGUGGGAUUAGCUAGUUGGUGAGGUAAUGGCUCACCAAGGCGACGAUCCCUAGCUGGUCUGAGAGGAUGAUCAGCCACACUGGAACUGAGACACGGUCCAGACUCCUACGGGAGGCAGCAGUGGGGAAUAUUGCACAAUGGGCGAAAGCCUGAUGCAGCCAUGCCGCGUGUAUGAAGAAGGCCUUCGGGUUGUAAAGUACUUUCAGUUGUGAGGAAGGGGGURNNGUUAAUAGCRNUAUCUCUUGACGUUAGCAACAGAAGAAGCACCGGCUAACUCCGUGCCAGCAGCCGCGGUAAUACGGAGGGUGCGAGCGUUAAUCGGAAUUACUGGGCGUAAAGCGCAUGCAGGUGGUUCAUUAAGUCAGAUGUGAAAGCCCGGGGCUCAACCUCGGAACUGCAUUUGAAACUGGUGAACUAGAGUACUGUAGAGGGGGGUAGAAUUUCAGGUGUAGCGGUGAAAUGCGUAGAGAUCUGAAGGAAUACCAGUGGC